UGAGGAAUAUUGCACAAUGGGCGAAAGCCUGAUGCAGCAACGCCGCGUGGGUGAUGAGGACCUUCGGGUUGUAAAACCCUUUUCUGGGGGACGAGGAAGGACGGUACCUCAGGAAUAAGCCUCGGCUAACUACGUGCCAGCAGCCGCGGUAAAACGUAGGAGGCGAGCGUUAUUCGGAUUUACUGGGCGUAAAGCGCGUGCAGGCGGUUCUGUAAGUUGGAGGUUAAAUCCCCUGGCUUAACUGGGGGCGUCCUUCAAAACUGCAGGGCUUGAGGAUGGGAGAGGGAAGUGGAAUUCCCGGUGUAGUGGUGGAAUGCGUAGAUAUCGGGAGGAACACCAGUGGCGAAGGCGGCUUCCUGGCCCACACCUGACGCUCAGACGCGAAAGCGUGGGGAGCGAACGG
RNAcentral lists this ribosomal RNA (403 nucleotides) under uncultured bacterium. RNAcentral describes it as "bacterial SSU rRNA". It matches the Rfam family "Bacterial small subunit ribosomal RNA", at positions 355 to 775 of the family's 1533-position model. The record is from RNAcentral.